Molecule: RNA transcript, 1840 nt
Organism: Juglans regia (Persian walnut)
Lineage: Eukaryota; Viridiplantae; Streptophyta; Magnoliopsida; Fagales; Juglandaceae
Gene name: arogenate dehydratase/prephenate dehydratase 1, chloroplastic-like
Exons: 12
Source: RefSeq, a predicted model, not a curated record
UUUUGAGCAGUUGAACCUCCAAAAGUCUCAACGUCUGUACGAGUGUAUCUGAUGCAGACAGUUAUCCGCUUGAACUGGUCUCAUAACUGAAGCGUGUCGUUGGAAGUAAAAAGCUUUCUUCACCUAAUUUUCACGUUCACCUGUUCGACGAAAGUCCUCAUUGUUUUAAUUCUAUUGCUUUUCGCAGCACGCGCAACACAUUCCUGGUUUUCAAAACCGUUUCUGAUUGUUCCGGAGCAUAGCAAACAUUGCGGGGAAACAUAUUGGUUUUGAAGCUUUAAUGGCUUUGAAGUCUGUGAUUGUGUUGGAGGGCACAAAUCCUCAUUUUGGUUGGAAUGAUUCGGGGUCUAAGCCAUCUGGGUUUCCAUUGAAUUGGAUAAAUGGACCGGAGAAAGUGUGCAAAUCGAUGAGUUUUGGUGGCUUUUCGGGUUUCUCAGCUUGUCGGGCUAUACGGAAUGUGGAAGACGGCAACACGUCCAAGCGGGGCACGCACUUGGAACGAGUAAUUGAUGAGACGAAGAGCUCCUUUCCAAAACCAUUAUCUGUAUCUGAUCUUUCUAGUACUGCUGAUGAUGGUUCGAAGGUACGGAUAUCAUUCAAGGGGUAUCCAGGGUCAUACACUGAGGAUGCUGCAUUCAAAGCCUACCCUAAAUGUGAAACCGUUCCUUGUAACGAGUUUGAAGAUGCAUUUAAGGCUGUUGAACUAUGGCUGACUGAUAAAGCAGUCCUUCCCAUUGAGAAUUCUUCAAGUGGAAGUAUCCACCGCAAUUAUGAUUUACUACUUCGUCAUAGGCUUCAUAUUGUAGGUGAGGUGCAGUUGGCUGUUAAUUUUUGCCUUCUGGCCCUGCCAGGCGUCAGAUCAGAGCACUUGAAACGUGUUAUAAGCCAUCCACAGGCACUUUCGUUGAGUGAUAUUCUCCUGAGUAAGUUAGGUGUUUCCAGGGAAAAUGUUGAUGAUACAGCUGGGGCUGCUCAGUAUGUAGUCUCAAAUGGCCUAAGGGAUGCUGGUGUUGUCGCAAGUGCUCGAGCUGCAGAAAUCUAUGGGCUUAACAUACUAGCAGAUGGAAUCCAGGAUGACUCUGAUAACAUUACUCGUUUUCUGGUACUUGCAAGGGAUCCAAUAAUUCCAAGAACUAAUACGCAGUUUAAAACAAGCAUUGUAUUUACUUUGGAUGAAGGCCCUGGAGUUUUAUUUAAAGCCUUGGCAGUAUUUGCUCUGAGGGACAUAAACUUGACAAAGAUUGAAAGUCGACCACAGAGAAAGCGGCCAUUAAGAGUAGUUGAUGACUCUAACACGGGGAGUGCCAAAUAUUUUGACUACCUUUUCUAUAUUGAUUUUGAGGCUUCUAUGGCAGAGCCCCGUGCACAAAAUGCUUUAGGACAUUUGCAGGAAUUUGCAACAUUCCUUCGCAUACUUGGUUGCUAUCCCAUGGAUACCACUUUGUAGUCCCUGUAUUCUUUGCAGUCUUCUUGUGAAUGGUCUUUGAGAUCUCAUAGUAGACAAGAAGGCUACUUCGCUACCAGUGAUUACAUAGGUUGAAAGGGUUUAGUGCAAAGUUGAAAUUUGAGGCUUCUAAAGACCACGAAGACGAGAGAUCACAAGAGACCCAUGAAGACCAACAACAAUCUUGAAGACACAGAUGAUAAAGAUUUUCACUUUGAAGACGUGCCAAAAUGGUUGAACUGGUGACUUUUCUUUCUGGCAACCCCCAAUACGAUGUCCCAAAAAUUGCAUCUCUGUCUAAGCGAAGUUUUUCCUACUUCAAAUAAAAUUCAUGCUCACAAAGCUUAGCGCUGAGCUACCAUUCCUCUAAUCUAUUGCCCCUAUGUGCCACUCCUC